This 257-nucleotide ribosomal RNA is filed under the name uncultured bacterium. Its description in RNAcentral is "partial 16S ribosomal RNA". It matches the Rfam family "Bacterial small subunit ribosomal RNA", at positions 524 to 776 of the family's 1533-position model. The record is from RNAcentral.
UACAGAGACCUCAAGCGUUAUCCGGAAUCAUUGGGCGUAAAGCGUACCGAUAGGUGGUUUAUUAAGUCUUGGGUAAAAGCCGGAAGCUCAACUUCCGCGUUUGCUUAAGAUACUAAUAGACUAGAGGGGCAAAGAGGUGCUUGGAACCAACGGUGUAGUAGUGAAAUGCGUUGAUAUCGUUGGGAACACCGAAAGCGAAGGCAGAGCACUGGGUGCCACCUGACACUGCUAGGACGAAAGCGUGGGGAGCGAAUGGG